CAAGACUCCAAGUGUGGCCCCAGGGGCUUGGCCUGUGGUAAUUCCUGACACAGUAGUUCUGGGAAGUUGAUUUACCCAAUAACCCUCCCUGCAUGGGCUCAGUUUAGUUUGUGGCUUACUAUAAAUAAACAUUUGUUCAACGAACACAACUGAAUGGGCAGGCUAGCUUGGCUAAUAGUAUCUAUGAUUUAGCUACUCUAGAGCCCUCCAAAGAUAUCAGGUGUGCCUUAUCCAUUAGCACAACGAGGCACAGGGCUGAGCAGGUGAAGAGAGUACACAGCUGUGGUCUGACCUGCUCAAUAUCCCUUCUUCCUGAAACAGAACCUAUCUUUUCUUCUUGGGGAGCCACCCCUCCCCUACUCUUAGCCCUUGGCUUAGGUUCCUCUUUUAAGACUCAGUUCUACCAGGAGGUAACCUCUGGUAAAUUCUCAAACCCCGGGACACAAUUUGAACCAAUGAGAUGCAAUUCAAUACGUGGAGCCCCUGGGCCAGAGCUGCUCUCUUGCUAGAGAACUUUGAGAUUGUAUAUCUGUAAUUAUUGGGGUUUUAUCUUCUCUCCAAGAAAGCCUCAGUAAGGAUGAAGACAACAGGAUAAAGCAGAACCAAGAGAGGGAGAGACACCAUUUGAGCUCUCCUGACACCAUUUGAGCUCCUCCUUCUCCAGGUUGGCUCCAAACCAGCAGAAGCUGAAUAAAGGACCGUGAACUUGGAAUAACUGUGGGACACUAGACUCUUACUGGUCCUAACCGAAGACUUGUUCCCAAAUGGUGAAAUUAAUUAAGCAUUUAUUCAGAAUCUCCACUUCCUGCUAGUUGUCCAUCUGGCGUGGCAGCAGCUCCUUCCUGCAAAGCAAUGUUGAAGAAGCAAUGGAAGCAAGAAGGAAGCAUGGAUUCUAGAAACUGAUGACAAACCACUUACCCCUAUUGCUCUUCUUCCUAAAGCUAAAGGAUCAAACUGCAUCAUGGAAGCUGCACACGAUGACACCCUGUCUGGAAAGUUUUUGCCAGACGGCAAAAGACUGCAAGCAGAAUAUCCCUUCGCCAUUUCUCAUCCAGGCCUGGCCGUUGUCUGAAAGCAAACCUCAAGGACAGGACUUUUUGGACUCUGCAGCCUCUCCAGGCUGCUGCUCCACCACAUGAAGUCCAGCAGGUGGCAGUGCACCCCGCACAGACCCGGCUUGCCUGUCUUGGCCCGAGGGAGUCCGUUUGAUGCGCAGUCGGGAAGUGGGUCUGCACGCACCUCGCUGCAGCUGUGGCAGACGCAAGCGAUGACACACAGGCUUGACGAGGGCCUUUGUCAGAAGCAAUGGGGAUCUGGCGUCACCGCACAAUGGAAAACAAAGUGCUUCUGCCUGGCUGGCCAGAAUGCACGUUUGCUCACUAUUGAUGCCGGGGCAUUUACAGGCAGAAUGAGUUCAUGUGAAAUUUCAGGGUCUGCCAUGACUCAGAAUCACUUUCUGUAAACCAGAGUCAACAUUACAUUUCGCUUUACUCUGAGCCAUUCCUUGAGUUUUUAGGUCACCAGUUGUUUUUGUACUAACCGAAGAGAUUUGAGUAUUUUUUAUGUACCUUAUUUUUAUUAUUAUUUUUAGGGCAUUACCAAUUUGGGACGGAUCUGUAGUGUGAGAGAUUGUUGUCACUCUUAGCUCCAAACAUAGAUUGGCUUUAUAUAUUAUUUACAUGUUCAGAAUUAUAUUGUGUAGAAAUUCAAGUGAAACUUGCAAAAUACUUUUCUGGCAGGAAGCCCUGGAGAGGAUCGUUCAUGGAAACAAGGAUGACGACUGUGGUAAGAAAUGCAGGUGACUCGUGAGUGGGCAGGGAGUGGAAGAGAAGAUGGCUGGAAGGUUUUAGCAUUCAGAAAAAAAAUGGAGACAACUAGAGUUGAUCUGAGGAUUGUGGCAGAAUUCAAUAUUGGGGCAAAGAAACAAGAUGGAGGUUAGAAAUUAGAAACAGCAGAGCUCCGCAGGUUGGAAAGGAUUUGAGCAAGAGAACAAAAAGGAGCCUGCUAAUAGCACCCUGGGUUUACAUCAAGAGAAGCACCUGGAGAGAAUUAACUCAGGAGGAGGUAGGGGCAUGGGAAACCUUUUCAUCUCCAACAGCCGGCAGGAGCAGCAGCUGGCCUGAACUUGAAGGUAUACCAGGUAGCUUGCCUGGGCCAGGAGAAGGUGAUUCUCUUCUAUGCCUCUCUCCAGUGCUCUGCUUCUGAUGCUGCUCCUCUACCCGUAGUGCGGGGAAGAUAUAUCCCUAAGAAGUUCCCUGCACCCCCAUUCCUUGUUCUGGCUAACUGGUCCCCUAGGAAUUUUUCUCCUAAUUUUCAAUUCCCCUUCUCACCUGGUGAAAUCUUAAAUCUUACUGUUCAAUAAAAGUUCUUGUACC
Molecule: RNA transcript, 2375 nt
Organism: Cercocebus atys (sooty mangabey)
Lineage: Eukaryota; Metazoa; Chordata; Mammalia; Primates; Cercopithecidae
Exons: 5
Source: RefSeq, a predicted model, not a curated record